This 253-nucleotide ribosomal RNA is filed under the name uncultured bacterium. RNAcentral describes it as "partial 16S ribosomal RNA". It matches the Rfam family "Bacterial small subunit ribosomal RNA", at positions 524 to 776 of the family's 1533-position model. The record is from RNAcentral.
UACAGAGGUCUCGAGCGUUGUUCGGAUUCAUUGGGCGUAAAGGGUGCGUAGGUGGUGGGGCAAGUCGGAUGUGAAAUCCCGGAGCUUAACUCCGGAACUGCAUUCGAUACUGCUUUACUUGAGUACUGGAGAGGAGAUCGGAAUUUACGGUGUAGCAGUGAAAUGCGUAGAUAUCGUAAGGAAGACCAGUGGCGAAGGCGGAUCUCUGGACAGUUACUGACACUGAGGCACGAAGGCCAGGGGAGCAAACGGG